This 84-nucleotide transfer RNA is filed under the name Cylindrospermopsis raciborskii PAMP2011. RNAcentral describes it as "tRNA-Leu". It matches the Rfam family "tRNA". Rfam says of the family: Transfer RNA (tRNA) molecules are approximately 80 nucleotides in length. The record is from RNAcentral. Lineage: Bacteria; Bacillati; Cyanobacteriota; Cyanophyceae; Nostocales; Aphanizomenonaceae.
GCGGGUGUGGCGGAAUUGGCAGACGCGCUAGAUUCAGGUUCUAGUGAUCGAAAGGUCGUGGAGGUUCGACUCCUCUUAUCCGCA